CAAGCACAUGGGAUUUGUAUUCAGCUACUGGGAAUGAAGAUGAACUUCAAUGGAAUUCAUCAUAAAGCAAUGAAACUACUCCUUAGCAUGUCUUCAGUAUGAUUAAUAGGUGAAUAAGGUUGGGAAUAUGCAGGCAGUUGGAUAGCAGUACUCAGAACAGAACUAAUCAACAUGCAAAAGAAGUAAGACCAAUAAAAGACAAAGAGCCAGUCAAUCUGAUGUAGAAAACUUGGGGGACAAACAGGAAAUUAAAAUUUCAUGAUUAUUUGAUCAGUAUAUUGAAGUGAAACUCUCAUGUUUGUUGUCACAUGUGUUGUCUCCUGCCUUGGCCAAUGGAACACAAGGCAGGAGAUCCUCAAGUAACCCAACUGAAAGACAUAAUAGCACAGAAUAAAACUAUGCAAAAACUUAGAGUAUCCAAUUCCUUAGACAGCACUUUUGGAGACUGUACCAGGCAUCAAUCCUAGAACAUUUCUAUUAUGUCAUGGAUCCAGAAAUCAGAAUAUUUAUUGCCAGGUUCUUUGGAAUAUUGUUUCAACAGUCCCUAAGAUAGAGGAUCAGUGGACUGCAGAGCUCAUGAUAAAAAUCUUUCCUAAAUAUGAAUACAAUGAAUUUUUAGAAAAGCAGUAAAAUCCUUUGGUUUUCACUUUGUGGACUUUGUUGAUAGGUCUGUUUGUCUAAUUCCAUCUGGCUUUCUAAAGUUAGCUCUACAAGACAGACAAGUCCACACUCCCAUUUAUGGGGGAAUUCUUCAACAGCUCUAAAGGAAUCAAUCAAGAUUAAAUAAUACAUGAUAUUAGUUUUUAUUCCAUUAAAACCUGAAAGGCUUCCAAAUCUGACACUUUUUUCUAAGUGCAGUGUUGGGCUAAACACCUUUUUAUCAAAACUUUGGAAUGUUUUAUCAUUUAUUAUUCCAGUCAAUAUUUCUGUGGGAAGGUGUUUUUUUGUGAGGGGAAGUUUUGAACACCUUGACACCAAAUAUUGUUUCUGAUGACUCUGAGCUCCUUCACAAAUUUCUUUCUCCCUUCAAAGUUUAUGGAUCACUGUGAACUGUGCUCUUCUGUUGCUCAUUCAAUUACAUCAUCAGGCCUGCAGCCAAUGUCUCUCUGAACUGUAUAAUGGAAAUUUGAAUUCAAUUUGUAGUGUUCAAUACUUCCUUGUAAAUCUUGUUUCCACAAAUCUCUGCUUCAGAGGCUGACCUUUUCCACUGUGGAGAGAUCCAGAGCUAUUUUCUUACUUUCAGCUUUUCUAAGAUUUUGAGUAUCUAGGGGUUUUCCCAGACUUGCUGUUCUCAAGAGACAGCACACUUUCCUGAAGAAUCCAAGUGUUCUAUAGUGGGGGUCCUUCUAAAUUCAAGCCUUUAGAAAAUGUUGCUGUACUCUUCUUAUUGUUCUGCUGGGUAAGUCUAGCCAAUUGACACAUGGUGUUUUUUCCAGAAGGGUGAGGAAAGGAUAGAUUUCACUUAUGCCACAAGCAGAUAGACAUCCAGUGUAACAAAAAUUCCUAUCUAAGUUUAGAGAAAAGCUUUCCCCAAGAGAGAUGACAUGAAAAAUCUUCAGGUAGGGUCAGUUUGCUGCAAACUCCAUGUGCUCUUGACGAAUUUUUGGCUUCUAACCUAUCAAUUGGACCAGCUAUCAAAUGCUCCUGCCCCUGAAAAACAUUGUAAUAUUCUCUCCUCCACCUCUUGUCAGCUAUAUAAACCUCCCUCAUAAGUCUCCAGAAGGUGAGAGAAAAAUCAAGGGUAACUCUAAGCACUGAACAGGAUGUAUUCCCAUUCUAAUGUUGCUUGUUUGCAGGAUAACUUGCUUGUUUGCAGGAUGUGUCCUCCCUAGAGGAUGUUUGCCUAAUCUAAACUUGCUUGUUACACCCAACCUUAACUGAAAAUUGUUCUACCCGAGAAAUGUAACCACCUUGUUCCUGUACUGUAGUGUGCCAUGAAAACUCCCCCUGUAUUGUGAGACCAGCAGAUGUUUAUGCUUUUACAAGACAAAAACUGCCUUUAGCUGUUAGGCAUGCAGUCUUCCAUAAUGACUACUGAAGGCUGCCUCACCAGGCCUGUGCUUUAAUGUUUUUUUUUUCUUUCCAAAUUAUUUUCUAUGGCUCGCUCAUACCUCGGCAAGUGGACCACCUCUUUUGGGGGCUCAUCCAGGAUGGAAUAACAGCCCACUGACUCAAUUCCUGAGGACUGAUUUGCUAAGAGGCAAAAAGGCAUCUUGGACCUGGAAGAGACUGCCAUGGCUGAUCCAGAAUGCCUAGAGUGCUUGUUUUCUUUAUCCCAUCCCAACUAGAACCCCAAAACAUCUGGAGGGAGAGAGGUUCUGACACAAUAUCACCUACUGUUUCUAGCAGCACUCCAUGGGGCAGCGAAGAAGCACACAAAUAAGUUCAAAGUAUCAGAGGUAUAUACCCCACAGAUUGAUCCUUGGGCCAGAUCAUCCUCUCUAUCCCCUUCUUCAGACUCCACUGAUUUUAUGGCAACUUCUUUGGAUGCUAUGUCAGCCAAAUUGUUUCCCCUGAUAAAGGGAUCAUCUCCUUUUUGGUCGGCCUUGCAAAGUAUGAUGGCCACUUUCUCAGGUAAGCAAAUCCCUGUAAACAGGUCUAAUUUUGGGGGGCACUUAUUAUUUUAUCUCCUGCUGGAGUCAAUAGUCCUCUCUGCUGAUAAGCUGACCAAUUUUCAUGUGCAAUGGCAAAAGCAUAUCUGCUAAUGUUAUAGAUGUUAGUCUGCUUACCUUCAGCCAGUUUCAAGGCUUUUGUCAAAGUAAUGAGUUCAGCUCCCUGAGCGGAAGUGCCAGAGUCCAGCAUUUGUGCCCCAAAAAUUUGGGUCUCAGAAGUAACAGCCAUUGCUGAAACUUUUGUACCUUGGUACAUGUAGCUUCUUCCUUCUGAGAAGAAUGAUGGUUCCCCUUCUAGAGGUUUGUCGGUCAGGUCAAAUUGAAGACUCUGAUAGCUGUCAAUCAAGGUGGAGCAUUCAUGUUAUGGGGUUGAGGGAUCCUCAUUGGGCAGCAGUGUGGCCGGAUUCAGGGCCACUGAGGACUUGAAAACAACAGAGUCAGGAUCUAAAAGCAGUGCUUGGUAAAGCGUUAUCCUUGCAAGAAAGUCGCUAAUCUCAAAUGGAAAACAGAUCCUCAAGGGAAGAUCAUUGUAGAGAUACCCUGCCAGAUCCAGGGAUAUCUUAUGUCCUGUUGGCACUGUAUCCAAGGUCAGAUUUGCAGGCAUGCCAUCUACAACUUUCAGCAAAGAAGCCUUGAGAGAAAGUCCUGUUGGAUACCAAGCCUCUGAAAACUACCCUUUUGAAAUCUUGCCCUGCGAUUUCUUCUGUACAAGUAAGAUCUCCUUGGCAAUGCCUGACUUUCUGUCUCGGGUCUCCUAAAUUCUGGGGUCUAGUUCACAAUUCUGCUCAACCAGUCACUGCCCAGUGUGGUUGCCAGGCAACUACAAGCCUCCUGAAUUGCAUCCACAGUUGGUAUCCAAAUCUGCAGCUUUCCAACUCACAGAACCAAAAUAAUUUGGAAAUCAUUUGGAAAGAAAUUUAAAAAAAUAUUUAUUAAUGCACA
This is a long non-coding RNA of Cavia porcellus (domestic guinea pig), 3554 nucleotides long. RefSeq lists it as uncharacterized. The transcript is spliced from 3 exons. The record is from RefSeq and is a predicted model, not a curated record. Lineage: Eukaryota; Metazoa; Chordata; Mammalia; Rodentia; Caviidae.